This 549-nucleotide ribosomal RNA is filed under the name uncultured bacterium. Its description in RNAcentral is "partial 16S ribosomal RNA". It matches the Rfam family "Bacterial small subunit ribosomal RNA", at positions 355 to 914 of the family's 1533-position model. The record is from RNAcentral.
UGGGGAAUAUUGCACAAUGGGCGAAAGCCUGAUGCAGCGACGCCGCGUGAGGGAUGACGGCCUUCGGGUUGUAAACCUCUUUCAGCAGGGAAGAAGCGAAAGUGACGGUACCUGCAGAAGAAGCGCCGGCUAACUACGUGCCAGCAGCCGCGGUAAUACGUAGGGCGCAAGCGUUGUCCGGAAUUAUUGGGCGUAAAGAGCUCGUAGGCGGUUAGUCGCGUCUGCUGUGAAAACUCGAGGCUCAACCUCGGGCUUGCAGUGGGUACGGGCUGACUAGAGUGCGGUAGGGGUGACUGGAAUUCCUGGUGUAGCGGUGGAAUGCGCAGAUAUCAGGAGGAACACCGAUGGCGAAGGCAGGUCACUGGGCCGCAACUGACGCUGAGGAGCGAAAGCAUGGGGAGCGAACAGGAUUAGAUACCCUGGUAGUCCAUGCCGUAAACGUUGGGCACUAGGUGUGGGGUCCAUUCCACGGAUUCCGUACCGCAGCAAACGCAUUAAGUGCCCCGCCUGGGGAGUACGGCCGCAAGGCUAAAACUUAAAUGAAUUGAC